RNAcentral lists this ribosomal RNA (346 nucleotides) under Triops mauritanicus. RNAcentral describes it as "partial 12S ribosomal RNA". Lineage: Eukaryota; Metazoa; Arthropoda; Branchiopoda; Notostraca; Triopsidae. The record is from RNAcentral.
UACACACCUCAGAGCCAACUUCAAUAAAGAAUUUUAUUCUAAAUUUACUACUAAAUCCACCUUAAUAAUAUUUUACAUACACUAAUCCGUAUAAUUAUAAUUUAUUGUAACCCACUUCUCCCAUACUUAUAAGCUGCACCUUGACCUGAAGUCAUAAAUUUAAAAUUAAUUAGACUAUAUUUUCUAAAAAUAAUCUGACAACGGCGGUAUACAAACUGAAUACAAAAGCAUGUACAUUUAAACGUGGAAUAUCAAUUCAAGAGCAGGUUCCUCUAGUAAGAAUGAAAUACCGCCAAAUUCUUUAGGUUUCAAUAAUCUACUACCCUGGCAAUAAACUUAAUAAAGA